RNAcentral lists this transfer RNA (75 nucleotides) under Deinococcus sp. KSM4-11. Its description in RNAcentral is "tRNA-Gly". It matches the Rfam family "tRNA". Rfam says of the family: Transfer RNA (tRNA) molecules are approximately 80 nucleotides in length. Their secondary structure includes four short double-helical elements and three loops (D, anti-codon, and T loops). Further hydrogen bonds mediate the characteristic L-shaped molecular structure. tRNAs have two regions of fundamental functional importance: the anti-codon, which is responsible for specific mRNA codon recognition, and the 3' end, to which the tRNAs corresponding amino acid is attached (by aminoacyl-tRNA synthetases). tRNAs cope with the degeneracy of the genetic code in two manners: having more than one tRNA (with a specific anti-codon) for a particular amino acid; and 'wobble' base-pairing, i.e. permitting non-standard base-pairing at the 3rd anti-codon position. Lineage: Bacteria; Thermotogati; Deinococcota; Deinococci; Deinococcales; Deinococcaceae. The record is from RNAcentral.
GCAGAUGUCGUCCAGCAGCCAGGAUGCCCCGCUGCCAGCGGGUAGACGACAGUGCAAGUCUGUCCAUCUGCUCCA